AACGAACGCUGGCGGCAUGCCUAACACAUGCAAGUCGAACGAGACCUUCGGGUCUAGUGGCGCACGGGUGCGUAACGCGUGGGAAUCUGCCCUUGGGUUCGGAAUAACAGUUGGAAACGACUGCUAAUACCGGAUGAUGACGUAAGUCCAAAGAUUUAUCGCCCAAGGAUGAGCCCGCGUAGGAUUAGCUAGUUGGUGAGGUAAAGGCUCACCAAGGCGACGAUCCUUAGCUGGUCUGAGAGGAUGAUCAGCCACACUGGGACUGAGACACGGCCCAGACUCCUACGGGAGGCAGCAGUGGGGAAUAUUGGACAAUGGGCGAAAGCCUGAUCCAGCAAUGCCGCGUGAGUGAUGAAGGCCUUAGGGUUGUAAAGCUCUUUUACCCGGGUUGAUAAUGACAGUACCGGGAGAAUAAGCUCCGGCUAACUCCGUG
RNAcentral lists this ribosomal RNA (433 nucleotides) under uncultured bacterium. RNAcentral describes it as "partial 16S ribosomal RNA". It matches the Rfam family "Bacterial small subunit ribosomal RNA", at positions 29 to 507 of the family's 1533-position model. The record is from RNAcentral.